UGGGGAAUAUUGCACAAUGGGCGCAAGCCUGAUGCAGCGACGCCGCGUGAGGGAUGACGGCCUUCGGGUUGUAAACCUCUUUCAGUAGGGAAGAAGCGAAAGUGACGGUACCUGCAGAAGAAGCACCGGCUAACUACGUGCCAGCAGCCGCGGUAAUACGUAGGGUGCGAGCGUUAUCCGGAAUUAUUGGGCGUAAAGAGCUCGUAGGCGGUUUGUCGCGUCUGUCGUGAAAGUCCGGGGCUUAACCCCGGAUCUGCGGUGGGUGCGGGCAGACUAGAGUGCAGUAGGGGAGACUGGAAUUCCUGGUGUAGCGGUGGAAUGCGCAGAUAUCAGGAGGAACACCGAUGGCGAAGGCAGGUCGCUGGGCUGUAACUGACGCUGGGGAGCGAAAGCAUGGGGAGCGAACA
This 407-nucleotide ribosomal RNA is filed under the name uncultured bacterium. RNAcentral's name for it is "partial 16S ribosomal RNA". It matches the Rfam family "Bacterial small subunit ribosomal RNA", at positions 355 to 774 of the family's 1533-position model. The record is from RNAcentral.